Molecule: long non-coding RNA, 2540 nt
Organism: Capra hircus (goat)
Lineage: Eukaryota; Metazoa; Chordata; Mammalia; Artiodactyla; Bovidae
Source: Ensembl
AUUUUCUCAGAACUGUGAGCUCUGCCAGGAGCAUGUUAUCUGGUCUGCUGAGUAAAUACUGGGUCACUAUAUACGUGACCAUUGCUGAGUCAAGAUGUAAUGUCUCACAAGCAAUGUGUUUGUUUUAACAGGGUUCGUCUUCAAGGUGUGAUUUUGGCAGAAAAAAUAAGGCAAGAAGGGUGAGUUUCAUGAUGGGGAGGGCGUGGGUGAUGGGAAGGGCAGAUGUCUUGGGGGCACGCACACCUGUCAUAUCCUCUGGGUUUUAUUUCACAGCCAACUGCCUACCGUCCCCGGGCUUUGAACGCUCCUGUGGGAGUUCAAGUAUCGUCCCAGGGCAGGCUGCAGGAAGAGCUCCCAGAAGCAUAAAUAGAGCACACGCCGAUAAUUGCCACCCGAAUACAGUCCUAGGGCUACCGCAAACAAGGUAUUGGUUAUCGGCAGAUGAAACCGGAGUCUUCUGUAAGGGAGGAAAUUGUGUAACAGCGCAGACCCUGGAGUCGGGAUGUUUGAGUUCAGAUUGCAGCUCCACUAUGACAGGCACCGUGUCCUUGGGCGAAUGACUGAAAUUCUUUUUCCUUGAUGUCUUUAUUCGUAAAAUGAAGAUAAUAAUAGUACUUAUCGCAUGUGGUCGUGAUGAUUAAAUGAUUUAAUACAUGUGACGCUCUUAGCAGAGUGUCUGGCACACAGUGAGUGAAAAGUGAAAGUAUUAGUCACCCGGUCGUGCCCGACUCUUUCCAACCCCAUGGACUGUAGCCCGCCAGGCUCCUCUGUCCAUGGAAUUCUCCAGGCAGAAUACUGGAGUGGCUUGCCAUGCCCUUCUCCAAGGAAUCUUCCCGAGCCAGGGAUAGAGCCCAGGUCUCUUGCAUUGCAGGCGGAUUCUUUACCAUCUGAGCCCCCAGGGAAAUGUACGUACUCAAUAAAUAGUAGCAGGUUUUUUUUUUUUUUGGUUUAUGUUUUGAGUAUUUCAUCAUUUAAAAGGGACUAGCCCUUCAGCUUCCUAGGUGAAGCUGGAACCAGGAGCUGAAAACCUUUGGUCAAGUGCAUUCUUGCAGCUGAAAGUGAAGGCUGCUUUUAGCAAAAGAGGGUUUAUGAUACAUCAUCUUGAGGUCACAGGAAGCUAUGGCAGAGACCAAAAUGGGCUAAACCUGAGACGUGGACGAAGUCUAUGCAGCUGUGGCAAAGGGCUUGCUUCUCCUCAGUCAGUAAUGGCCUGAGUGGUCUCCAGUUGCUUCUCAAUCCCGGAUUACAUCCCAUAUACAUAUAGCCCUAUCGAGAGCCCUGCUUUAGACAAGAUCUUGUCAUUCUGUAGGAAACGACUGGUUAGAAACAUGGGACAAAGUUCAAGUCUUUGCUAAUAUAUUAUAUUUGCUGUUGCUUAGUCAUUAAGUUGUGUCUGACUCUUUGCGAUCCUAUGGACUGCAGCAGGCCAGGUUUCCCUGUCUUUCACCAUCUCCCAGAAUUUGCUCAGACUCAUGUCCAUUGAGUCGGUGAUGCCAUCCAACCAUCUCAUCCUCUGUUGUCCCCUUCUCCUGUUUCCCUCAAUCUUUCCCAGCAUCAGGGUCUUUUCCAAUGAGUCAGCUCUUCGCAUCAGGUGGCCAAAGUAUCGGAGCUUCAGCUUCAGCAUCAGCCCUUCCAACGAAUAUUCAGGUUUGUUUCCUUUAGGAUGGACUGGAUUGAUCUCCUUGCUGUUCAAGGGACUCUCAAGAGUCUUCUUCAGCAUCACAAUAUAAAGCAUCGAUUCUUCUGUGGUCCGUCUUCUUCACGAUGCAACUCACAUCUGUGCAUAACUACGGGAAAAACCAUAGCUUUGACUAUACGGACCUUUGUUGGCAAAGUAAUAUGAGUCGUCAAACAAAAGGAUUAUCCAAAAAGUGAUGUUCAUUCCUGAGCUGGAGACUGGCCCAGGAUCAGGAGAGAGGAUGAACCAGCGAAGAGGAAAUAAGGUCAGAGUGCAGUGAGGCUAAAUCAGGAGGCCUGAUGUGCAGAAAUGAGAUUACUAUGGAAUUGCAUCUUGUUGUUGUCGUUCAGCUACCAAGUCAUGCCCAACUCUUCGAGACCCCAAGGACUGCAGCAUGCCAGGCUUCUGUGUCCCUCAGCAUCUCCUGGAGUUUGCCCAAGUUCAGGUCCACCGAAUCGGUGAUGCCAUCCAACCAUCUCAUCCUCUGUUGCCCUCUUCUUCUGCUUGUAAUCUUUCCUAGCAUCAGGAAUUGCUUCUUACCAGGGCAUUAAAUGAUUCAAAAGCUCACAUUUGUAAAAAUCACAGAAAAUUAUCCUUAAAAAUCCCUUUUACUUCAUGAACAAUUUUUACUUCAUGAACGAUUCAUAGAUGGUUUUGUACAUACAACCCUACAUAGUAUGUGUCUAAUACAUGAAAAAUAGUACAAAUGCAAUACUGCCUUUUACAGAAUUUUAUAAUAUUUAAAACUGUAUAUUGAGCAUAGAUACUUGACUUCAUUUAGGUUAAAUGCACCUAUUAUGUGAUUCUUAAAACUAUGUUUGGGCCCUGGGCCGAUUUCUAUUCUCUGCGCUAUGUGUUCUCC